Molecule: ribosomal RNA, 547 nt
Filed under: uncultured Chlorophyta
Lineage: Eukaryota; Viridiplantae; Chlorophyta
Description: SSU rRNA
Rfam family: Eukaryotic small subunit ribosomal RNA
Source: RNAcentral
UAGCCGUAUAUUCAGUUGUUGCAGUUAAAAAGCUCGUAGUUGGAUUUCGGUUAAGAGCGACCGGUCCGCCGUUUGGUGUGCACUGGUUGGUUUUAACUUCCUGUAGAGGACGUGCUCUGGGCUUAACGGUCUGGACUCGGAGUCUACGUGGUUACUUUGAAAAAAUUAGAGUGUUCAAAGCGGGCUUACGCUUGAAUAUUUCAGCAUGGAAUAACACUAUAGGACUCCUGUCCUAUUUCGUUGGUCUCGGGACGGGAGUAAUGAUUAAGAGGAACAGUUGGGGGCAUUCGUAUUUCAUUGUCAGAGGUGAAAUUCUUGGAUUUAUGAAAGACGAACUUCUGCGAAAGCAUUUGCCAAGGAUGUUUUCAUUAAUCAAGAACGAAAGUUGGGGGCUCGAAGAUGAUUAGAUACGAUCCUAGUCUCAACCAUAAACGAUGCCGACUAGGGAUUGGCGGAUGUUAAUUGAUGACUCCGCCAGCACCUUAUGAGAAAUCAAAGUUUUUGGGUUCCGGGGGGAGUAUGGUCGCAAGGCUGAAACUUAAAGGAA